AGGUCAGAUAUGCUUAGAAGUGUGGCAGAAAACGUUUCUCUUAUUAAUACACAUUAAUACAGUAUUUGGCAAGUUCGAUCUAAUUUUCAAUUAUAUAAAAUAUUUGUAGAUUAAAACAGUACAGUAAAACUAUUAAAUAAAUCUACGGAUCUAAAUUCCAACCUAAAAAUACGAGCCUACACAAAAUUCUUUAGCUGAUCGAGAACCUUGAGUUUCACUGCUGAAAGACUGUGUAGUCCUUGUUCGCGUGAACAAGUAUACAUAUCGUUUUCUUAUAGACGUGACCUUUUUGUGAAUUCUUAUCAACAUUUACUUCAGUUACGGAAGGCUUAAUUUCUAAGCAAAUAACGUAGUUUUACGAUAUGACAUAUCCGUGCAUGCUACAUCUGUAACUUCA
Molecule: long non-coding RNA, 397 nt
Organism: Wyeomyia smithii (pitcher-plant mosquito)
Lineage: Eukaryota; Metazoa; Arthropoda; Insecta; Diptera; Culicidae
Exons: 3
Source: RefSeq, a predicted model, not a curated record